RNAcentral lists this ribosomal RNA (443 nucleotides) under uncultured bacterium. RNAcentral's name for it is "partial 16S ribosomal RNA". It matches the Rfam family "Bacterial small subunit ribosomal RNA", at positions 338 to 795 of the family's 1533-position model. The record is from RNAcentral.
CCUACGGGGUGCAGCAGUGGGGAAUAUUGGGCAAUGGAGGCAACUCUGACCCAGCACCGCCGCGGGAAUGAUGAAGGUCUUCGGAUGGUAAGUUUCUUGAAGGGGGGAUGAACACAAUGACGUUACCCCAAUAUCAAGCCACGGCUAACUACGGGCCAGCAGCCUCGGUAAUACGUAGGUGGCAAGCGUUAUCCGGAAUGACUGGGGGUAAAGGGUGCGUAGGUGGUUUAGUAAGUUGGCGUGGUAAUUCCGGGGCUCAACCUCGGCGCUACCGCCAAAACUAUUAGACUAGAGUGCAGGAGGGGUAAGUGGAAUUCCUAGUGUAGCGGUGGAAGGCGUAGAUAUUAGGAGGAACAUCAGGGGCGAAGGCGACUUACUGGACUGUAACUGACACUGAGGCACGAAAGCGUGGGGAGCAAACAGGAUUAGAUACCCUUGUAGUC